UACGUAGGCAGCGAGCGUUGUUCGGAGUUACUGGGCGUAAAGAGUGCGUAGGCGGUUUUCUAAGUUUGGUGUGAAAUCUCCCGGCUUAACUGGAAGGGUGCGCCGAAAACUGGAAGGCUUGAGUAUGGGAGAGGUAAGCGGAAUUCCUGGUGUAGCGGUGAAAUGCGUAGAUAUCAGGAGGAACACCUGCGGUGUAGACGGCUUACUGGACCAUAACUGACGCUGAGGCACGAAAGCUAGGGGAGCAAACGGG
This 253-nucleotide ribosomal RNA is filed under the name uncultured bacterium. RNAcentral describes it as "partial 16S ribosomal RNA". It matches the Rfam family "Bacterial small subunit ribosomal RNA", at positions 524 to 776 of the family's 1533-position model. The record is from RNAcentral.